This 253-nucleotide ribosomal RNA is filed under the name uncultured bacterium. Its description in RNAcentral is "partial 16S ribosomal RNA". It matches the Rfam family "Bacterial small subunit ribosomal RNA", at positions 524 to 776 of the family's 1533-position model. The record is from RNAcentral.
UACGGGGGGGGCAAGCGUUGUUCGGAAUUACUGGGCGGAAAGGGCUCGUAGGCGGCCAACUAAGUCAGACGUGAAAUCCCUCGGCUUAACCGGGGAACUGCGUCUGAUACUGGAUGGCUUGAGGUUGGGAGAGGGACGCGGAAUUCCAGGUGUAGCGGUGAAAUGCGUAGAUAUCUGGAGGAACACCGGUGGCGAAGGCGGCAUCCUGGACCAAUUCUGACGCUGAGGAGCGAAAGCCAGGGGAGCAAACGGG